Molecule: ribosomal RNA, 1378 nt
Filed under: Lactiplantibacillus plantarum
Lineage: Bacteria; Bacillati; Bacillota; Bacilli; Lactobacillales; Lactobacillaceae
Description: Lactobacillus plantarum 16S ribosomal RNA
Rfam family: Bacterial small subunit ribosomal RNA
Source: RNAcentral
GAGUGGCGAACUGGUGAGUAACACGUGGGAAACCUGCCCAGAAGCGGGGGAUAACACCUGGAAACAGAUGCUAAUACCGCAUAACAACUUGGACCGCAUGGUCCGAGUUUGAAAGAUGGCUUCGGCUAUCACUUUUGGAUGGUCCCGCGGCGUAUUAGCUAGAUGGUGGGGUAACGGCUCACCAUGGCAAUGAUACGUAGCCGACCUGAGAGGGUAAUCGGCCACAUUGGGACUGAGACACGGCCCAAACUCCUACGGGAGGCAGCAGUAGGGAAUCUUCCACAAUGGACGAAAGUCUGAUGGAGCAACGCCGCGUGAGUGAAGAAGGGUUUCGGCUCGUAAAACUCUGUUGUUAAAGAAGAACAUAUCUGAGAGUAACUGUUCAGGUAUUGACGGUAUUUAACCAGAAAGCCACGGCUAACUACGUGCCAGCAGCCGCGGUAAUACGUAGGUGGCAAGCGUUGUCCGGAUUUAUUGGGCGUAAAGCGAGCGCAGGCGGUUUUUUAAGUCUGAUGUGAAAGCCUUCGGCUCAACCGAAGAAGUGCAUCGGAAACUGGGAAACUUGAGUGCAGAAGAGGACAGUGGAACUCCAUGUGUAGCGGUGAAAUGCGUAGAUAUAUGGAAGAACACCAGUGGCGAAGGCGGCUGUCUGGUCUGUAACUGACGCUGAGGCUCGAAAGUAUGGGUAGCAAACAGGAUUAGAUACCCUGGUAGUCCAUACCGUAAACGAUGAAUGCUAAGUGUUGGAGGGUUUCCGCCCUUCAGUGCUGCAGCUAACGCAUUAAGCAUUCCGCCUGGGGAGUACGGCCGCAAGGCUGAAACUCAAAGGAAUUGACGGGGGCCCGCACAAGCGGUGGAGCAUGUGGUUUAAUUCGAAGCUACGCGAAGAACCUUACCAGGUCUUGACAUACUAUGCAAAUCUAAGAGAUUAGACGUUCCCUUCGGGGACAUGGAUACAGGUGGUGCAUGGUUGUCGUCAGCUCGUGUCGUGAGAUGUUGGGUUAAGUCCCGCAACGAGCGCAACCCUUAUUAUCAGUUGCCAGCAUUAAGUUGGGCACUCUGGUGAGACUGCCGGUGACAAACCGGAGGAAGGUGGGGAUGACGUCAAAUCAUCAUGCCCCUUAUGACCUGGGCUACACACGUGCUACAAUGGAUGGUACAACGAGUUGCGAACUCGCGAGAGUAAGCUAAUCUCUUAAAGCCAUUCUCAGUUCGGAUUGUAGGCUGCAACUCGCCUACAUGAAGUCGGAAUCGCUAGUAAUCGCGGAUCAGCAUGCCGCGGUGAAUACGUUCCCGGGCCUUGUACACACCGCCCGUCACACCAUGAGAGUUUGUAACACCCAAAGUCGGUGGGGUAACCUUUUAGGAACCAGCCGCC